GUGAAUCAUCGAAUCUUUGAACGCAUAUUGCACUCUCUGGUAUUCCGGAGAGUAUGCCUUUUUGAGGGUAAGUAAGAAGAAUCUUUAACCAAUUUUUUUGGUCAAAGGAUAUGAGUUGUCCGCGUUUAUAGCGGUAGCUUUAAAUAAAAGGUCAAGUCUCAUUUUAGUCGAGACGCGUAAUAAUAUUAUUUCGCGAAAUCUGCAUUAUGUGACUAUCAAGUUUUUAUUCAUACAAAGUUUGUUUGUAUUCGAUAAAUACAAAUAGUUUGA
RNAcentral lists this unclassified non-coding RNA (270 nucleotides) under Ambisporaceae sp. RNAcentral describes it as "partial contains 5.8S ribosomal RNA and internal transcribed spacer 2". The stretch from base 1 to 71 matches the Rfam family "5.8S ribosomal RNA", at positions 84 to 154 of the family's 154-position model. Lineage: Eukaryota; Fungi; Glomeromycota; Glomeromycetes; Archaeosporales; Ambisporaceae. The record is from RNAcentral.